UAAACAAAUUUGUACUGUGAAACUGCGAAUGGCUCAUUAAAUCAGUUAUAGUUUAUUUGAUGGUACAUUACUACAUGGAUAACUGUGGUAAUUCUAGAGCUAAUACAUGCAUAAAAAUCCCAACUUACGAAGGGAUGUAUUUAUUAGAUACAAAACCAAUUCGUGGUAACACGAUAUUGGUGAGUCAUAAUAACUUUUCGAAUCGCAUGGCCUUGUGCCGGCGAUGCAUCAUUCAAAUAUCUGCCCUAUCAACUUUGGAUGGUAGGAUAGAGGCCUACCAUGGUUUUAACGGGUAACGGGGAAUAAGGGUUCGAUUCCGGARAGGGAGCCUGAGAAACGGCUACCACAUCCAAGGAAGGCAGCAGGCGCGCAACUUACCCAAUCCCGACACGGGGAGGUAGUGACAAUAAAUAACAAUACAGGGCUCUUUUGGGUCUUGUAAUUGGAAUGAGUACAAUUUAAAUACCUUAACGAGGAACAA
RNAcentral lists this ribosomal RNA (481 nucleotides) under uncultured eukaryote. RNAcentral's name for it is "SSU rRNA". It matches the Rfam family "Eukaryotic small subunit ribosomal RNA", at positions 66 to 549 of the family's 1831-position model. The record is from RNAcentral.